GUAUAAUCACUAAGAGACAGAAACGAAAAAAUGUCCGUUUUUUCAUUUUCUGAGACCGGAAGUGGUCAUCAGGAAGUGUGGAGCCAAACGACAACAAGAUUCUCAGAGGGCGGAGCCAGAGAGCAGUGAUUGGUCAGACCAUAGAUAAUAUAGAAGACAGCGUGCUAGCGUAUCUAAUCUUCUAUAUAUCUAUGGUCGGGACGUCUGGCAGCAUCUCUGGCUGCUGUUGAUUUUGUUUUUGGAGUGAAACACGGUGGAAGCUGAAUUAGUGAGGAUGACUCCUGCUCCUGUCAUCUCUAAGCUCCUCACACAUCUUUACCUGCAGAUGAGGAAAAUCACUCCUGUAGAAUGCAGAUGUUCAGAGGGAGAUGGUGCCACAUCUGGUCCAGCUGAUGGAAGGUCUUGAAGUUCUCUGACUGGCCUGGACUGAAGAUGGUCCUCUCACUGGAUUUAAGGUUCAGAUGCUCAGUAACAAACUCCACCAAUGAACCAACAGGGAAGCUUUAGGUUUAUUAAAUGUUGCUAUGAAGGUAUCGCUGUUUUUCUUUGUGAAUGCAAUGUGCUCCAACUGAAACUUGAAUUAGAACUUAGAAGUAAAUCCUUCCAUCUGAAAGGAUUUAGUUGCAUUAAUAACCUCAUAACAUUUUAAUUUUUAUUCCAGUCUUGGUUGGAAAUAGAAUCUCUGUAUUGAUUCAGGUAAAAACUGAACUUCACAGCAUUUUGGAGCAAAACAACCAGAUGAAAACUGUGAUGGUGUUGGAUUGUCAGACCGUAAUGUUGCAGCUCAAAGCAGCUUUUCUAUCUCAGUUCAUUCUGACAUUCAGCUAUGAAUCAACACAGCAGAUGGUGAUCCAUGCUGUGGAAGUCUCACAUCUCCUGAUUUAAUGGAGCUGCUUUGCACUUUUUACACUGUUUAUUCACCAACACUUUAUUUAAUAAAAGUCCCAUCUAGUUUUUAUGAGGAAUGUGAUGUUUUAAUUUCUCUGUGAAUAACUGCAGUCUAAUGCAACAGCUGGAGUUGUAACAUCUGUCCUGAUGUUGAUCAUGAAGUAUUGAUCAGAAUACUUAUGGUCAGCAGUCAUCCCUGAAGUUUUACAUUAAAAUCUUUACUUGUGUUGUGAACUUUGGUAAGAAGCAGAAACUUUUGCGUUGCCAUGGAUACAUGAGUGUUAAGUUCUGUCCAUGUUUCCAUUUUGGGAAAUGCAGUCCAGUUCCAGAAUGUGGAGGAAUUUAGUCUCACAAUCACAGACAGCAAAUAUUAUCUGAAAGUCGGGUUAUUGUUGUUUAUCAGCACAAUACAAAAAGAUUAAUAUUAGAAAUAUUCCAGUUAAGACUCUAGAAUAUCAUGAUUUAUGUACAUUUCCUCAAUAAUAUGAAUGUUCAGGUUAAGAUUGUACAGUGAUAUUUAUUAUGCAAGUUUAGCUGAUUAAAGUUUACUCUGCACUAAAAUAUUAUUUAAAUUGACAUCAUUAUAAUAUUUAGGGUCAGACCUUACAGUAUUGAGAUUAAGAAAUCAAAUAUUCUAUAAAAUGUAAAUACACUGAACUCAUUUGGAUAUAUUUAAGUGAGACUCUACAAUAUUAUUUGACACAAAUCUAUCUAAAUCAAAAUUUUAAUAAUUUUCACGCCAAACAUUUACUGGACUGAUUUAAAUAUUAAAAUCACUCCUUUCUAAUCCUCUGCUGUACGUUCAAACCUGAGGCCUUAAAUAGAAACACACAAGUAUCUGUUUGAAGGAACUUCUGCAGAGUCCUGGUUCCAGAACAUGAUGAUAAAAUUAUGGACAAACUUUAACAAAAGCUGCCUGAGAGUUUACAGGUUUUUAUGUUAGAUUUCUUCAGUAAUUUAAUGAGUUAUCAGCAAAAAUCAAGUGUUCAUUUGAUGAACUUGAUUUCCUAAAACAUCCAGAAUUGGAGCUCAUAUCUUUGGCAACUGUAAAGUUUCUGCUCCUUCAAAGAUCACAACACAAUGAAUGAAUUCCUAAAACACUCUCAAUGCUGGAGAGUGUUUGUGAUGCUGAAGCAGUGACCAGUUUUUCUGUUUCUUCUCUGGAGAUGCACAAUGAGGGACAUCUGCAGAGACUGAGAAAGAGUCUCACCACAUCCUGACAUGAGGAAAAAGACUUUAUUGAAGACUACAAUGAGAAAAACUAUCAGACAGCAGACGGCUGCAUUCAAGGUGAGCUCUGAACAUUUGAUCUGGAACAGGAAUUCAGUAACGGCAGUAUGAGCUUCAUUUCAGUCUGUAGCUGCUGAAUUCAUGGAUGAAUCAUCUGGCACUAGAGAGGAAGACCAUCAGACAUCCACAUCAGCUGAUGGAGGUCCAAGAGUGUCAUCAAACAAACAACCUACAGAGUGAAGACCUCAAAUCUGAUUGGACGGCCUCCUAUUCAGCCACAUACUGUUAGAUUGUUCCAGAUAAGACAAGUACAAGAUACUUCAGAGCCGUUCUACCACGAGCCUGACAGGAAGAACUCCAACAGCUACUGAAUGUUCCUGUGGUUCCCUCAAGGCUACAGAAGGAGCCCUACGAGGACGAGCCGGUCCACCUGAUGCCGGCCAAUCGCUGCGGUUCAAAGCCAACACCGACUACGUGGACUUCUACUGGACCACACGGAGGCCUUCAAACUGGACCAACAAGUUCACCGACUCGUGGGUCUGAGGACGCUGCCGAGCCUCGGCCCAGCCGGCCUCCUGUCUGUGGGUGUUUGAGUGCUGAGAGGUUUGAGGAUGCAUGUGAAC
Amphiprion ocellaris (clown anemonefish) is the source of this 2741-nucleotide long non-coding RNA. Lineage: Eukaryota; Metazoa; Chordata; Actinopteri; Pomacentridae. The record is from Ensembl.